CCUGGCUCAGGAUGAACGCUAGCGGCAGGCUUAAUACAUGCAAGUCGUGGGGCAGCAUGAGUAGCAAUACUUGAUGGCGACCGGCAAACGGGUGAGGAACACGUACACAACUUUCCUUCAAGCGGGGAAUAGCCCAGAGAAAUUUGUAUUAAUACCCCAUAAUAUAUUUGAUAAGGCAUCUUAUUAAUAUUAAAGCUUCGGCACUUGAUGAUGGGUGUGCGGCUGAUUAGAUAGUUGGCGGGGUAACGGCCCACCAAGUCUACGAUCAGUAGCUGAUGUGAGAGCAUGAUCAGCCACACGGGCACUGAGACACGGGCCCGACUCCUACGGGAGGCAGCAGUAAGGAAUAUUGGACAAUGGACGAAAGUCUGAUCCAGCCAUGCCGCGUGAAGGAUUAAGGUCCUCUGGAUUGUAAACUUCUUUUAUAUGGGACGAAAAAAGGGCAUUCUUGUUCACUUGACGGUACCAUAUGAAUAAGCACCGGCUAACUCCGUG
This 495-nucleotide ribosomal RNA is filed under the name uncultured bacterium. RNAcentral describes it as "bacterial SSU rRNA". It matches the Rfam family "Bacterial small subunit ribosomal RNA", at positions 18 to 507 of the family's 1533-position model. The record is from RNAcentral.